This 582-nucleotide ribosomal RNA is filed under the name uncultured bacterium. Its description in RNAcentral is "bacterial SSU rRNA". It matches the Rfam family "Bacterial small subunit ribosomal RNA", at positions 337 to 909 of the family's 1533-position model. The record is from RNAcentral.
UCCUACGGGAGGCAGCAGUAGGGAAUCUUCCGCAAUGGACGAAAGUCUGACGGAGCAACGCCGCGUGAGUGAUGAAGGCUUUCGGGUCGUAAAACUCUGUUGUUAGGGAAGAACAAGUGCUAGUUGAAUAAGCUGGCACCUUGACGGUACCUAACCAGAAAGCCACGGCUAACUACGUGCCAGCAGCCGCGGUAAUACGUAGGUGGCAAGCGUUAUCCGGAAUUAUUGGGCGUAAAGCGCGCGCAGGUGGUUUCUUAAGUCUGAUGUGAAAGCCCACGGCUCAACCGUGGAGGGUCAUUGGAAACUGGGAGACUUGAGUGCAGAAGAGGAAAGUGGAAUUCCAUGUGUAGCGGUGAAAUGCGUAGAGAUAUGGAGGAACACCAGUGGCGAAGGCGACUUUCUGGUCUGUAACUGACACUGAGGCGCGAAAGCGUGGGGAGCAAACAGGAUUAGAUACCCUGGUAGUCCACGCCGUAAACGAUGAGUGCUAAGUGUUAGAGGGUUUCCGCCCUUUAGUGCUGAAGUUAACGCAUUAAGCACUCCGCCUGGGGAGUACGGCCGCAAGGCUGAAACUCAAAUGAA